AGCGAACGCUGGCGGCAGGCUUAACACAUGCAAGUCGAGCGCCCCGCAAGGGGAGCGGCAGACGGGAGAGUACCACGUGGGAACAUACCUUUUGGUUCGGAACAACUGAGGGAAACUUCAGCUAAUACCGGAUAAGCCCUUACGGGGAAAGAUUUAUCGCCGAAAGAUUGGCCCGCGUCUGAUUAGCUAGUUGGUGAGGUAACGGCUCACCAAGGCGACGAUCAGUAGCUGGUCUGAGAGGAUGAGCAGCCUCACUGGGACUGAGACACGGCCCAGACUCCUACGGGAGGCAGCAGUGGGUAAUAUUGGACAAUGGGGUCAACCCUGAUCCAGCCAUGCCGCGUGAGUGAUGAAGGCCUUAGGGUUGUAAAGCUCUUUUGCCCGGGAAGAUAAUGACGGUACCGGGAGAAUAAGCCCCGGCUAACUUCGUG
This 431-nucleotide ribosomal RNA is filed under the name uncultured bacterium. RNAcentral describes it as "partial 16S ribosomal RNA". It matches the Rfam family "Bacterial small subunit ribosomal RNA", at positions 29 to 507 of the family's 1533-position model. The record is from RNAcentral.